CGUGAAUUAAAUUGUAGUGUAUUUGUUUAGAAUAUCCUCUUUUUUAGUUAUGAAUUUGUUACAAAUAUUAAGUGCAAAAGCACACGGAGGUUUUCUAUAUGAAUAACGGUACAGUAAAAUGGUUUAACGCAGAAAAAGGUUUUGGUUUCAUCGAACAAGAAAAUGGCGGAGACGUAUUCGUACAUUUCUCAGGUAUCGCUAGCGAUGGCUACAAAACUUUAGAAGAAGGUCAAAAAGUUACUUUCGAAAUCACUGAAGGUCAACGUGGAGACCAAGCAGUUAACGUACAAACUGUUUAAUCUUACAACAUAAAACGACUCAUUAUAAAUGAAUCGCUUUGA
Molecule: unclassified non-coding RNA, 341 nt
Filed under: Staphylococcus aureus
Lineage: Bacteria; Bacillati; Bacillota; Bacilli; Caryophanales; Staphylococcaceae
Description: cspA
Source: RNAcentral